GUUGUAUAGUCAAGUAAUUAAGUGCAUGUGGUGGAUGCCUUGGCAGUCAGAGGCGAUGAAAGACGUGAUAGCCUGCGAAAAGCUCCGGGGAGGCGGCAAAUAUCCUUUGAUCCGGAGAUUUCUGAAUGGGGGAACCCAUCUACUUUAAGGUAGGUAUUGCAACAUGAAUACAUAGUGUUGCAAGGCGAACGAGGGGAAGUGAAACAUCUCAGUACCCUUAGGAAAAGAAAUCAAUUGAGAUUCCCUCAGUAGCGGCGAGCGAACGGGGAUCAGCCCAUUAAGUUAUGUGUGUUUUAGUGGAACGCUCUGGGAAGUGCGAACGUAGAGGGUGAUAUUCCCGUACACGAAAGGGCACACAUAAUGAUGACGAGUAGGGCGAGGCACGUGAAACCUUGUCUGAAUAUGGGGGGACCAUCCUCCAAGGCUAAAUACUCCUGACUGACCGAUAGUGAACCAGUACCGUGAGGGAAAGGCGAAAAGAACCCCUGUGAGGGGAGUGAAAUAGAUCCUGAAACCGCAUGCAUACAAGCAGUGGGAGCACCUUCGUGGUGUGACUGCGUACCUUUUGUAUAAUGGGUCAGCGACUUAUAUUCAGUAGCGAGGUUAACCGUAUAGGGGAGCCGUAGGGAAACCGAGUCUUAAUAGGGCGUUUAGUUGCUGGGUAUAGACCCGAAACCAGGCGAUCUAUCCAUGAGCAGGUUGAAGGUUGGGUAACACUAACUGGAGGACCGAACCCACUGUCGUUGAAAAGCCAGGGGAUGACUUGUGGAUAGGGGUGAAAGGCUAAUCAAGCCUGGUGAUAGCUGGUUCUCCCCGAAAGCUAUUUAGGUAGCGCCUCGGACGAAUACCAUAGGGGGUAGAGCACUGUUUCGGCUAGGGGGUCAUCCCGACUUACCAAACCGAUGCAAACUCCGAAUACCUAUGAGUACUAUCCGGGAGACAGACUGCGGGUGCUAACGUCCGUAGUCAAGAGGAAAACAAUCCAGACCGCCAGCUAAGGCCCCAAAAUCAUAGUUAAGUGGGAAACGAUGUGGGAAGGCAUAGACAGCUAGGAGGUUGGCUUAGAAGCAGCCACCCUUUAAAGAAAGCGUAAUAGCUCACUAGUCGAGUCGGCCUGCGCGGAAGAUGUAACGGGGCUAAAACUAUGUGCCGAAGCUGCGGAUUUGACAUUAGUCAAGUGGUAGGGGAGCGUUCUGUAAGCCGAUGAAGGUGUAUUGAGAAGUAUGCUGGAGGUAUCAGAAGUGCGAAUGCUGACGUGAGUAACGACAAAACGGG
Molecule: ribosomal RNA, 1275 nt
Filed under: Acinetobacter pittii
Lineage: Bacteria; Pseudomonadati; Pseudomonadota; Gammaproteobacteria; Moraxellales; Moraxellaceae
Description: partial 23S ribosomal RNA
Rfam family: Bacterial large subunit ribosomal RNA
Source: RNAcentral